UAUUUAUUUAUUUAUUUAUUUAUUUAUUUCCCUUGAUUUACACCUUUCUUAUCUGUCAGCCCCACUGAGUCUUCCUCAGGUUUCCUGCCAUUGUUGAGGCCAUGAUGAACUUCUGGUACUUGAUACAGAAAGAUAUCAGAAGUCAGAAGAUGGAUGUAGACAGACAAGAAACACAGUUGUAAUGAAAAUAAUGAAGAUAAAAGUAUUAUGGAUGUUUUUGAUGAAUGCUAUGUAAACACUGCUGAAGCAAGAAAAAAGAUGGUUUUGGUAAACAAGAAAGUAGCUGGUAAAAUCUUAGAACCAAAUGAAACAAGAUUUAGAGACUUAUGAAGAAAUGACGGAGCCUUAUUGCAUAUAAUUCUUGUUACCUGGGGAAGAUUUUUGCUGCAGAACAAUGUUGGCAA
Molecule: long non-coding RNA, 404 nt
Organism: Oxyura jamaicensis (ruddy duck)
Lineage: Eukaryota; Metazoa; Chordata; Aves; Anseriformes; Anatidae
Exons: 2
Source: RefSeq, a predicted model, not a curated record